GUUGGGAAUAUUGGACAAUGGGCGAAAGCCUGAUCCAGCCAUGCCGCGUGUGUGAAGAAGGUCUUCGGAUUGUAAAGCACUUUAAGUUGGGAGGAAGGGCAGUAAGUUAAUACCUUGCUGUUUUGACGUUACCGACAGAAUAAGCACCGGCUAACUUCGUGCCAGCAGCCGCGGUAAUACGAAGGGUGCAAGCGUUAAUCGGAAUUACUGGGCGUAAAGCGCGCGUAGGUGGUUUUGUAAGUUGGAGGUGAAAUCCCCGGGCUCAACCUGGGAACUGCCUCCAAAACUGCAUGACUAGAGUACGGUAGAGGGUAGUGGAAUUUCCUGUGUAGCGGUGAAAUGCGUAGAUAUAGGAAGGAACACCAGUGGCGAAGGCGACUACCUGGACUGAUACUGACACUGAGGUGCGAAAGCGUGGGGAGCAAACAGGAUUAGAAACCCGAGUAGUCC
RNAcentral lists this ribosomal RNA (450 nucleotides) under uncultured bacterium. Its description in RNAcentral is "partial 16S ribosomal RNA". It matches the Rfam family "Bacterial small subunit ribosomal RNA", at positions 354 to 796 of the family's 1533-position model. The record is from RNAcentral.